CCCACCCCACCCCCGCCACGGUCCUCGCCCCAUCCGCCGCUCUCGUGCGUGUGUGUGCGCGCGCACUAGGCGCCAGGCACGCGGAAAGGUCGUCAGCUCUACUUUGUUGCCAACGCAACAUCAGGUUUUGGCUCUGCCGCAGUGACAUCACUGCACAGCACUGCCACCACCACCUUGUUUUUGCUCGGUGGACCUCAAAGGUUGAAGCCCGCGACACUCUUCUGGCCGCAACAUAGUCUGCACCCAGGCUCACCGACCCAGACCACCCAGUGGUGUGCGACCCUGGCCUUUGAUAAAGUUGUUGUGGUGCUGCUUGGGCCAGAGUGCUAAAUCACCAAAGGUGCAACCCCUUGGUGCACAUAAAUGUGCAGCUCAAUGGCAAAUAUGGCCAACAUGGACGAAGGCCUGACAGACCACCAACUCUGAAUCUUCCCUUUGGGUGAUUGUGUGACACUGGGCGAUGGAUUUAUGCUCUGGAUCUCCUUUGUCCUUCUGUAAAAUGGAGUUGCUAUCAUGGCUAUCUUAUAGGACUGUGGUGAGGACACACACGACAGUGCAGUAAGCCCCAGGUCAGUGGCUGACUCCCCUUGGAGGGUAUGCACUUGUUAUUCAUCAAAAACAUAGCCAGCUUGAGGCCA
This 638-nucleotide small RNA is filed under the name Rattus norvegicus (Norway rat). RNAcentral's name for it is "uncharacterized LOC100910524". The record is from RNAcentral. Lineage: Eukaryota; Metazoa; Chordata; Mammalia; Rodentia; Muridae.